CUCACGCGAGGGCAGCAGUCGGGGAAAUCGUUGACGCAAUGGGCGGAAGCCUGACGCAGCAACGGCCGCGUGACGGGAGUGAAAUGCCUUCGGGUUGUAAACCGUCUUUCGAGCGGGGAAGAUUGUGACGGUACUGCAGAAGAAGCUCCGGCCAACUACGUGCCAGCCGCCGCGGUAAUAC
RNAcentral lists this ribosomal RNA (181 nucleotides) under uncultured bacterium. RNAcentral describes it as "partial 16S ribosomal RNA". It matches the Rfam family "Bacterial small subunit ribosomal RNA", at positions 337 to 526 of the family's 1533-position model. The record is from RNAcentral.